RNAcentral lists this ribosomal RNA (468 nucleotides) under uncultured bacterium. Its description in RNAcentral is "partial 16S ribosomal RNA". It matches the Rfam family "Bacterial small subunit ribosomal RNA", at positions 28 to 507 of the family's 1533-position model. The record is from RNAcentral.
GACGAACGCUGGCGGCGUGCUUAACACAUGCAAGUCGAACGGAAAGGCCCUGCUUUUGUGGGGUGCUCGCGUGGCGAACGGGUGAGUAACAAGUGAGUCACCUGCCCUUGACUUUGGGAUAAAUUCAGGAAACUGGGGCUAAUACCGGAUAGGCGCUCUCGCUGCAUGGUGGGGGUUGGAAAGUUUCGGCGGUUGGUGAUGGUCUCGCGGCUUAUCAGCUUGUUGGUGGGGUAGUGGCUUACCAAGGCUUUGACGGGUAGCCGGCCUGAGAGGGUGACCGGCCACAAGGGGACUGAGAUACGGCCCAGACGCCUACGGGAGGCAGCAGUGGGGAAUAUUGCACAAUGAGCGGAAGCCUGAGGCAGCAACGCCGCGUGCGGGAUGACGGCCUGCGGGUUGUAAACCGCUUUCGCCUGAGACGAAGCGUGAGUGACGGUAAUGGGUAAAGAAGCACCGGCUAACUACGUG